RNAcentral lists this ribosomal RNA (497 nucleotides) under uncultured bacterium. RNAcentral's name for it is "partial 16S ribosomal RNA". It matches the Rfam family "Bacterial small subunit ribosomal RNA", at positions 28 to 507 of the family's 1533-position model. The record is from RNAcentral.
GAUGAACGCUGGCGGCGUGCCUAAUACAUGCAAGUCGAGCGAACGGACGAGAAGCUUGCUUCUCUGAUGUUAGCGGCGGACGGGUGAGUAACACGUGGAUAACCUACCUAUAAGACUGGGAUAACUUCGGGAAACCGCAGCUAAUACCGGAUAAUAUUUUGAACCGCAUGGUUCAAAAGUGAAAGACGGUCUUGCUGUCACUUAUAGAUGGAUCCGCGCUGCAUUAGCUAGUUGGUAAGGUAACGGCUUACCAAGGCAACGAUGCAUAGCCGACCUGAGAGGGUGAUCGGCCACACUGGAACUGAGACACGGUCCAGACUCCUACGGGAGGCAGCAGUAGGGAAUCUUCCGCAAUGGGCGAAAGCCUGACGGAGCAACGCCGCGUGAGUGAUGAAGGUCUUCGGAUCGUAAAACUCUGUUAUUAGGGAAGAACAUAUGUGUAAGUAACUGUGCACAUCUUGACGGUACCUAAUCAGAAAGCCACGGCUAACUACGUG